This is a non-coding RNA of Camelina sativa (false flax), 572 nucleotides long. Lineage: Eukaryota; Viridiplantae; Streptophyta; Magnoliopsida; Brassicales; Brassicaceae. The record is from RefSeq and is a predicted model, not a curated record.
AUAUUUUCGACCACUUUUAACUGCGGGCGGUUUGCUAACUUAAAAUCGUGCGUUUUCAUGAGGUCAUGAGCUACAUCAGAGGAGGAAAGUACGAGGACUGGGACGCGGCCGAAAUGAAGGAGCAUGAGUGGGCCGUAUCGGAAGCUUAGGGAACGAAGAGAACGGUGAGGGUGGAGGCUUAGCUGGUGGAGGUUACCAAUCACGGGAAGUCGCCAUGGAGAAGGUGGUAGGUUGGGUUUGGUAGCGGGUCGUUUGAGUAGUCGGUUUAGGAGAAGAAGUGCUAGGAUUGUUGUUAGGGAAAGAGAGAUGAUUAUCAUUUCCAUUCUGUACUUUGAAACUAAAAUCAAAUCUCUCACUCGUUGAUAUAUUUUUGUUACAAUGAAUAAAACAAAACUCUUUUAACUACCACCAGGUGUUUGUUCCACCAUGAGUUAGACAAUAACAAGGUAUUUUUCAACUAUGGAUUUAAAAGAGUUUAAAUCUUUGGAUAAUAUGUUCUUGUUCAACAAUUGAAUUUAAAUAUAUGUAUAUAUAGGACAUGCUAUUUGUAAAUCAUGUUUGUGAGGUUUUAA